CCUGGUGGUUCUAGCGAGGUGGCCGCACCCGAUCCCAUUCCGAACUCGGCCGUGAAACGCCUCUGCGCCUAUGAUACUUCGUCUUAAGACGCGGGAAAGUCGGUCGCUGCCAGGU
Molecule: ribosomal RNA, 115 nt
Filed under: Aureimonas fodinaquatilis
Lineage: Bacteria; Pseudomonadati; Pseudomonadota; Alphaproteobacteria; Hyphomicrobiales; Aurantimonadaceae
Source: RNAcentral